Molecule: transfer RNA, 72 nt
Filed under: Reticulitermes tibialis
Lineage: Eukaryota; Metazoa; Arthropoda; Insecta; Blattodea; Rhinotermitidae
Description: tRNA-Pro
Source: RNAcentral
UCAGGGGGUAUUUUAUUUAAAAUAUUAGUUUUGGGGAUUAAUGAAAUGGUGUAUGUAUGCCUUUCCUCUGAA